Molecule: ribosomal RNA, 256 nt
Filed under: uncultured archaeon
Lineage: Archaea
Description: partial 16S ribosomal RNA
Rfam family: Bacterial small subunit ribosomal RNA
Source: RNAcentral
UAAUACGGAGGGUGCGAGCGUUAUCCGGAAUCACUGGGCGUAAAGGGCGCGUAGGCGGUUUGUUAAGUCUGAUGUUAAAGACUGGGGCUCAACCCCGGCAUGGCGUUGGAUACUGGCAGGCUUGACGGUUGGAGAGGCGAGUGGAAUUGCCAGUGUAGCGGUGGAAUGCGUAGAUACUGGUAGGAACACCUAUUGCGAAGGCAGCUCGCUGGACAAUUCGUGACGCUGAGGCGCGAAAGUGUGGGGAGCAAACCGG